This 237-nucleotide ribosomal RNA is filed under the name uncultured bacterium. Its description in RNAcentral is "partial 16S ribosomal RNA". It matches the Rfam family "Bacterial small subunit ribosomal RNA", at positions 99 to 334 of the family's 1533-position model. The record is from RNAcentral.
CGAACGGGUGAGUAACGCGUGAGGAACCUGCCUCAAAGAGGGGGACAACAGUUGGAAACGACUGCUAAUACCGCAUAAGCCCACGGCUCGGCAUCGAGCAGAGGGAAAAGGAGCAAUCCGCUUUGAGAUGGCCUCGCGUCCGAUUAGCUAGUUGGUGAGGUAACGGCCCACCAAGGCGACGAUCGGUAGCCGGACUGAGAGGUUGAACGGCCACACUGGGACUGAGACACGGCCCAG